UCCGGUUUGUCACCGGCAGUCUCCCUAGAGUGCCCUUGCGUAGCAACUAAGGGCGAGGGUUGCGCUCGUUGCGGGACUUAACCCAACAUCUCACGACACGAGCUGACGACAGCCAUGCAGCACCUGUGUCCACGCCCCUUGCGGGGAGGAAUCCAUCUCUGGAAACCGUCGUGGCAUGUCAAGGGCUGGUAAGGUUCUUCGCGUUGCUUCGAAUUGAACCACAUGCUCCACCGCUUGUGCAGGCCCCCGUCAAUUCCUUUGAGUUUUAGUCUUGCGACCGUACUCCCCAGGCGGAGUGCUUAAUGCGUUAGCUGCGGCACAGAGCGGGUUGAAGACCGCCCCACACCUAGCACUCAUCGUUUACGGCAUGGACUAC
RNAcentral lists this unclassified non-coding RNA (376 nucleotides) under uncultured Pseudomonadota bacterium. RNAcentral's name for it is "uncultured proteobacterium contains 16S-23S intergenic spacer region". The record is from RNAcentral. Lineage: Bacteria; Pseudomonadati; Pseudomonadota.